Long non-coding RNA from Lepidothrix coronata (blue-crowned manakin), 553 nucleotides. RefSeq lists it as uncharacterized. The transcript has 3 exons. The record is from RefSeq and is a predicted model, not a curated record. NCBI's taxonomy places the organism in Eukaryota, Metazoa, Chordata, Aves, Passeriformes, Pipridae.
GGAAGAAGAAAAGUAGCAAUGCCAGAAAAAUGGGUUGUCUAAUGCACCUGGUGGCAAGAGCUGUUCAAAAGAUUUUUUCAAAUCCAUUCUACCAAAGGAUUUUUAGAUUAGAAUUGUUAUGCUGAGCACCAGUGAAGGACUUCUGGCUUCCUGAUGUUUGAUUCUCCCCACAACAAAAAGUCCUGGAAGUCCCCCAGGGCACUGAGACCUCUCAUUCCUGAUAGUCAACCUGAUAGUCAGUAUAGAAUGGAAUGGAACAGGAUGGAAUUACAGAAAGUUGAGUGACCUUUACCAACCAGCAGUCCUCUGUUAUCUCCCUGCAAGAGCUCAGGACUCCUGUACUGCAAAAAUAACCCCUUUGAACAAGAGCUGGCUCCUCUGCAGAGCUGCCACUAUUGGGAAGGCAAUGUACUGAAGAAGUUCCCAAGUGUACCUCAAAAACUCAGGAAGCAUACAGCUCUGGCAAGUUCUAUGUAUAUUCAGGCGGACUGCAUCACUUUGGGAGCCAGGAAGAGGGACAGAGGACACCCCAAGCAGCUCUUCUAGAGCCAGG